Long non-coding RNA from Labeo rohita (rohu), 925 nucleotides. RefSeq lists it as uncharacterized. Lineage: Eukaryota; Metazoa; Chordata; Actinopteri; Cypriniformes; Cyprinidae. The record is from RefSeq and is a predicted model, not a curated record. The transcript has 4 exons.
GAACUGUGAGAUGUCAACGGAGAACAGAAGCUGGAAUGUGAACACAGAGGAAGGGGCAGACUGGAUGUGUGAGAUCGCGAAAACAUAUGGCGAUGUCAGGUGGCACAAAGAAAAGGAAAUAGAACUUGUCACCAUCUUCAGUCCUUUAUUUUAUUCACUGGAGAACAUCACAGCCUUCAGAUGUGUCAUAUCAGGAUAAAUGCAACUGCAGGACUCGUCGGGCCCACCCCACUACAGAUUCACCAAGGAUCCAGCUGAUCACUGCCAAUUUGAAGGAGGAUUGUCCUUUAUCUGCUACAUUGCACUCUCACAUCUGAGGCUGUUAAGAAGACUGCACUGAUGUCAAAGAUCAACCAGCAAGAAUCUGAGAGGGAACUCUCAAAAUGGUUUACUGGGACAAGAGACAGAGGAGGACUGAGGGUGUCUAGAAUGCACAAAUGUCUGUCUGCAGUGUAAGCAGUACUGAAAAAUGUAUAGUUGCUGCUGCUGUUUCUUACUGUCUCUGUUUUCUAUGUGCAAAUGUUCAAAGCUUUCAGUAAACACUGGUUCAAAUACAAGUUCAAAAUGUUUGUUAACUUUAACAAUUAAAUGAUUUUAACAGUUAGGUAUCAGAAUAUAGCAUAUGAUGGGUAGUUUCAAUAAAAUUGAAAUUUGAAAAGAUUUCAAUCUCACUGUGUACUGCUGAAUGCUAAUGCUUUAAAACUUUAAAACUUUUUUUUUUUUUUUAAUCCCACUUGCAAGCCAUACUUUAUCCCAUGUAGUUCCCACAUAGAGUUUGAAGAUGGGACCUAGGUAGGUUUUGUGUAUGUUUCAUAGUUGGGCCCCACCUUAAACCCAGUGAAAUCCUAAAUAAAACCCACAUUGGUAAAUUGCAUGGGGCCAACAUGGAACCCGUGGACAAACCCAUGUAAAACCCAUAUUUAGA